GACUCUGGCCUCAAAUCAGGUAGGACUACCCGCUGAACUUAAGCAUAUCAAUAAGCGGAGGAAAAGAAACUAACAAGGAUUCCCCUAGUAGCGGCGAGUGAAGCGGGAAGAGCUCAAAUUUGUAAUCUGGCGUCCUUCGGGCGUCCGAGUUGUAAUCUAUAGAAGUGUUUUCCGUGCCGGACCAUGUCCAAGUCCCUUGGAACAGGGUAUCAAAGAGGGUGACAAUCCCGUACUUGACAUGACCACCGGUGCUCUGUGAUACACUUUCUACGAGUCGAGUUGUUUGGGAAUGCAGCUCAAAAUGGGUGGUAAAUUCCAUCUAAAGCUAAAUAUUGGCGAGAGACCGAUAGCGAACAAGUACCGUGAGGGAAAGAUGAAAAGCACUUUGGAAAGAGAGUUAAACAGUACGUGAAAUUGUUGAAAGGGAAACGAUUGAAGUCAGUCGUGUUCUUUGGACUCAGCCGGUUCUUCCGGUCUAUUUCCUUUGAACGGGUCAACAUCAGUUUUGUCCGGUGGAUAAAGGCAGGAAGAAAGUGGCUCCCUCGGGAGUGUUAUAGCUUUCUGUCACAUACACUGGAGGAGACUGAGGACUGCAGCUCGCCUUUUGGCCGGGGUUCGCCCACGUUCGAGCUUAGGAUG
RNAcentral lists this ribosomal RNA (639 nucleotides) under Vanrija musci. RNAcentral describes it as "LSU rRNA". It matches the Rfam family "Eukaryotic large subunit ribosomal RNA", at positions 1 to 625 of the family's 3401-position model. Lineage: Eukaryota; Fungi; Basidiomycota; Tremellomycetes; Trichosporonales; Trichosporonaceae. The record is from RNAcentral.